UAUUUGAUGUAAACAUUGAAUAUCGUUUUUACUAUAUAAAGUGAUCAAGCAAUUCACCAUUUGUUAUAUACAAAGUUAAAACAUAAAUAAAAAUAUGGCUGGAAUUCUCAAGUUUUUUUAUAUUGCAAUCAUUUAUGUUUCUAUGUAUCUUGUUGUAAUCGAGGGUAAAGAUGGCUGUAAAACUAAUUUCGAUUGCUUGAUAAAAUAUCCUGAUCAUAAUGAAGAUAUUCUGCAGUGCAUUGGCGGUCAUUGUCUGUGCCUUACCAACUAGGGUUAUCCUCACGACAAGACUGAUGAGUAGAAUCAAGGCGUUUGUGUACGAGAAUAAAGCGGAUAGUUAUUCUCUCACCUAUAUUAUGUUGUUCUUUAAAGUUUGUUGGAUUAUUGUGUAUGUUUAAAUUGAGUUCUAGGCUCUGAUGUUGUGACAUUAGGACCGAGUUUAAUAAUAUGUACUUGACUUAUUUUGUUGGAUAAAAUAUUACAUAUUUUAUUUUAUUAUGAGGAUAAUUGUAAGGCUCUAAGAUGGAAAAAUAUUUUAUUUUGAGUUA
This is a long non-coding RNA of Medicago truncatula (barrel medic), 548 nucleotides long. RefSeq lists it as uncharacterized. The record is from RefSeq and is a predicted model, not a curated record. The transcript has 3 exons. NCBI's taxonomy places the organism in Eukaryota, Viridiplantae, Streptophyta, Magnoliopsida, Fabales, Fabaceae.